CGAGUCUUAACCGGGCGUUAAGUUGCAGGGUAUAGACCCGAAACCCGGUGAUCUAGCCAUGGGCAGGUUGAAGGUUGGGUAACACUAACUGGAGGACCGAACCGACUAAUGUUGAAAAAUUAGCGGAUGACCUGUGGCUGGGGGUGAAAGGCCAAUCAAACCGGGAGAUAGCUGGUUCUCCCCGAAAGCUAUUUAGGUAGCGCCUCGUGAAUUCAUCUCCGGGGGUAGAGCACUGUUUCGGCUAGGGGGCCAUCCCGGCUUACCAACCCGAUGCAAACUGCGAAUACCGGAGAAUGUUAUCACGGGAGACACACGGCGGGUGCUAACGUCCGUCGUGAAGAGGGAAACAACCCAGACCGCCAGCUAAGGUCCCAAAGUCAUGGUUAAGUGGGAAACGAUGUGGGAAGGCCCAGACAGCCAGGAUGUUGGCUUAGAAGCAGCCAUCAUUUAAAGAAAGCGUAAUAGCUCACUGGUCGAGUCGGCCUGCGCGGAAGAUGUAACGGGGCUAAACCAUGCACCGAAGCUGCGGCAGCGACGCUGAUGCGUUGUUGGGUAGGGGAGCGUUCUGUAAGCCUGUGAAGGUGGCCUGUGAGGGUUGCUGGAGGUAUCAGAAGUGCGAAUGCUGACAUAAGUAACGAUAAAGCGGGUGAAAAGCCCGCUCGCCGGAAGACCAAGGGUUCCUGUCCAACGUUAAUCGGGGCAGGGUGAGUCGACCCCUAAGGCGAGGCCGAAAGGCGUAGUCGAUGGGAAACGGGUUAAUAUUCCCGUACUUGGUGUUACUGCGAAGGGGGGACGGAGAAGGCUAUGUUGGCCGGGCGACGGUUGUCCCGGUUUAAGCGUGUAGGUGUGUGUUCCAGGUAAAUCCGGUUCACUUUAACACUGAGGCGUGAUGACGAGGCACUACGGUGCUGAAGCAACAA
RNAcentral lists this ribosomal RNA (920 nucleotides) under Salmonella enterica. RNAcentral's name for it is "partial 23S ribosomal RNA". It matches the Rfam family "Bacterial large subunit ribosomal RNA", at positions 678 to 1596 of the family's 2925-position model. The record is from RNAcentral. RNAcentral also lists the same sequence under 1 other name. Lineage: Bacteria; Pseudomonadati; Pseudomonadota; Gammaproteobacteria; Enterobacterales; Enterobacteriaceae.